Molecule: non-coding RNA, 9325 nt
Organism: Struthio camelus australis
Lineage: Eukaryota; Metazoa; Chordata; Aves; Struthioniformes; Struthionidae
Source: RefSeq, a predicted model, not a curated record
GGAGCAGAAAACACUUCUCAGGAAAAAGAGGUCUAAUGGCUGUGUUCAGCAGACCUGCUUUCCAAGGAGGUGCGCUCGUACUUCCCGAGGUGCAUCUUGCACGUCAGUCUUUUCCACGCCGUUGCCUUAGGUGAGGUGAGAGUAGUAGAGUGGCUGCUAAGGGGAAGCUGUUCCUCGCUCUGAUACCUUGUGCAGUGGGGCCCUGCAUUCAGGGUAAAACUGCACCGUGUCAGAAAUGAAGCGGAAAAGCUGUAGCGCCAGCUUCCUGUAAACUGUUCUUCGUAGGUACUUUGAUUUCUCUAGAAGAAGAAGGUGAUGCUCCUGUUAUCAUGGGAAUUUCCCAAUGCAUUGCCACAGUCUUUGCUAUCUUCAGUCAUUUUUUAUACAAGGUUUUGCCUUGUUUUUAUCUAGGCAAUUACUUGUAAAUCACAAAGUGCUGACAUGAGUAAGGAACAGAUCUUUCUACGGGAAAGCAAUGUGAAUGUAAAGCAUUUCUGCGGCUACGGAGAGAUGUUACGAGGAGGGAAGUGACGUCCCAUUUCAGUGUUCAGUUGGAUGUUUUAUGAGUGUUUGAGUGUUAUGAGUGUUUUGAGGAACCCCUCUGCACCAGCUCCUCUCUCCCUCCGUCCCUCCCCCAUGCAGUACAUACCUUUUCCUCUCUGUCUGUCUUUAGGGCCUAGGUACUCAGGGUAGGUGUACUUCAUUUUUCUAAGACAGAUUCACUGUACUACUAGACCAGCUGAACCUAGCUCAUGCCCUGAUUCUGGUCAAGGUUGGGUUACCUUGCAAUGACUGAGAAAAUGAAGACAGGCUUUCGUCAUACUGCUACACAUGACUUCUGUGUGUACACCAAGCCAUCCAGGAUCAUGUCCUUGCACAUCUGCUAUGUUACUCAUAACACCUACUGAUUCAUAUCCAGAUCUACUCAAACAUCUAAACGCAAUGGAGAGCAACAGGCAAAACACAAAUUCUUCUGAUUGCCACCAUCCUUCAAGGUAACAGCUUGAGGAAUAGGCCUAUCUGAGACCUACUCACAAAACUCAGGAAGCUAAUUUGAUUUGGGAUUUCAUAAUGAAUGUGAAUCUCUGAUUGUUAGGAUCUCUAAUUAGAAUAUCUAUGAAGGUUUCCAAGCAGGUUAUAGGGAAAACAGAAGACUUUAUGACCAUGAUUUAUUUGCUAUGUGUACUGAUUUCACCAAAGCUGAAAAUCAUAGUAAAAAUAGGAAGGUGUGAAAUGCAGUCGAGCCAACCAGUACAGGUGUGUCUCUACAGCAAAGCCCCGGGCUUCUGCUCAGUUUUGACAAAGAGCAUCCUUUCUUGUUUGGUAUGUGAAAGGUCUGGUGGAACAGAGGGGAGUGGAAGUGGUCUGCAUGCUGUAAAAAUACCCUGAUGUCAUUUCUAGCUCCAGCGGUAAAGGAGCAAUGGAGGAAGAAAAAAAAAGUGCCUAGGAUUAUGGAAAAACUAUUGCAAGAACACACAGGUCUGAGCAACAGGCUGCAACUGAACUGUUCAGUGCUUUGUUGACUCAGUAGGUUGCCAGAGGCUGCAAAGUGAUAAGGAGAACAAAGUCCACAUCUGUUCUCUCAGUGCAAACACCCUUAUCUCUGUUCCCCUUGCAGCUUCUUUCACAGUGGCUGGACAGUCCAAGGAGCAAGCUCCACUGCAGUUAAAGUAUGACAGAAGCACUGUCAGUUACAGCUUCCUGAAGGAUCUGUUUUCUUAAAAUAGGACCAUUUGUUCCUCUUUUAUGAUGGGUCAGUUCCAGGGGCCUCAGUAUUGCAGCUUCUUCCCUUAACCAUCUUUGCCUUUCGGAAGCCUCAGAUUGGGCUGAACUCAUGGAAGCUUUUCCUUUCUCGGUGGUUUGUUCUCCUACUGUCCAAGCCAAGGACCAGUCUCCUCCCUUAGUAUUUGUGAUAGUAGUCUAGCCAGCACUUGUGCCCUGAGUUUGUUACACAAAUCCCUCUACGAAGGAGAAAGGGCUCGAAUGUGGAAUCUCUGGUCUCUUAGAUGUGAGCUCUGGCUCAGACAGGAAGACAAGGGGCUGCAUUAUCACUGAUGGAAACAUCAGUUACGUGUUGUUGUCCUUCCUGCACCCCAGUCACAAGUCACUUCUGACUCUCUUGUCAAGAUCUCCACUUUGUGGUAGGAAUAAAGCAGGAAGUAUCUGUGAGGAUGACUUUUCUCACAGUGGUUCUGUGAUUUUCUUUUGUUUUGAGACAAAGCAGAGUUUUCUGAGGUACAACAGGGCAGGGCAUCUUAGUGAGCGUGACUUCAUAGGACAGUUCAGAUCCUGGCUACCCGUAAACUGUCAAGGCCCAGGCUGUAAUUCCAAUGCAGCAAUUCCUUUUGGCCCUAGGCUAUGUCACAGAACCAGUGAUGGCAGUCAGUCAGUUGAGGCCUCAAAUGAACCAUUGCCCAAAUCCACAGAUCCACCUGCAGAGCCUUCACCGUUGACUAAACCACUGUAAGAUGAAACCAUUCUGUUGAAGUUGGUGACAAAGCUGUCAUUGACUGUCAGAGUAGGAUUUCACCCAAAGCGUAGCCUUCCUGGCUGUCAUUGCACUAAAAUCUCAAUUGCUUCAGUGAGUCAAACUGUGGAACUAGGUCUGACUUGCUCAAGCUCUCCUCCUCCAUCUCCAAGUCCCUUUCCUGCUUUUACCUUUCUUUCUCCCCAGAUACAAGCUGUCUCCCCAUUCCUGUCUUGUUCUCUGAGGUCUAAUCUCUAUCUCCAGGUUCUUCUCAAAUGGUCUUUACUUCCUUCUUCCUAAGUCUCGCUCUGCUGCUGCUUGCCUCCUGAGUGUAGCCCCUCUCCCCAGCUCCACUCGACCACAGGGGCCUGGGUCUUCUCUCCAUUCCAGCUUCCCAUUUUCUUAGUUCUGAGGUCACUUUUUAAGGGCGUUUUCACCUCCCUUUUGUUACCUGAACAAUAAGUAACCCAGGUAGUUAGUUAUAAACUCAAAGGGAACAAGAGGCUGGUUGAUAAUUUAUAGCAACAUCUCAAAUUUAAAUGGAAAGUAAAUAUCAAGUUGUUAGCAUUAAAGAAAACCCAUUUCAGAGAGCUGAGGAUGUAACAUUCGGGGGACCUUCUCCCUCCUUCACUCUUCCUGACUUUUCUUUCUCUUUCUUUUUCCUUUGUUCCUUUCUUUCCCCUCCUCUUCCUCAUUCCCUCUGUCUCUCCUUUCCUCCUUCCCUGUUUUCCAGGUUCCCAGGCAAGAGAAGCCCUCAUUUCUCUGAGGUAGAUUCUGAAGUGCUGCUUUGGACCAGACCUUGGUUAAGCAGAGGUUCAGAGCUGUGAAGUGCUCAGGACCAUCCUCUGGCCCUUUCCUCUGGAGCUCGCCAGACAACUCCCACUGGUGCCAGUGCACAGCCCGGAGCCGGGCUGGGCAGAGAGCAGGGAAGGAUUCCUCGUGUACCAGAAGCCCCUUCCCUCUUGGUUCUGCUUGCCCCGGAGGCCUUCAGCUGCUGAAGCUUUUAAAACAGCCUCUCUUGAAACCAAUGAACUUCAAAGGCUAUAAAACCAAAAAUGAACAUCUGCCUGUUUGUUAGGACCUACAGGAUGCUACAACUGGAUACCACAUGAGGAAUCCUGCGUUUAACGUGGAAACCUUUCAAAUACUGAGGAAGAGGUAAAUUUCUCCAUCACUCUAUCCUUGAAGGUCUUUUUCCCUUGAUCUAUUGGAGUUGCCCAUUUUAAACUCCAAGAGCCUGGACAACCAAGGAAGAGGUAAAAACUUUCCUUAAAAAUGUCUACACUGUCAUUUUUACAUUCACUGUAACCUGCCAAACCAGAUAUGCUAGCAAAUGAUUCAGCACUCCAUCAAGGAUCUAAUUCAGAUUCUUCAGUGCAAGGAAACCAGUGAGCUUUUCAGUGUUUCUCAGAUGUUACAAAUUGCUAAACUGUCAGAAUGAACAAGUGGGAGGUAGGACGGAAACUGUUGCUAUGGGUUAACCAGCACCCCUUUUCUAUAUAUUGACACUGAGGACUGCAAGCUCGGGUUUCUCAGAUUAUUACAACUGCCACAAUAUCCUGCUGAGAGGUAAUAAGGAUAGCAGAGGUCAAGGGUGGAAGCUGCAAAGCUUUAACCAGCUAGAUUAUAGUUCUAGUAGUAGAGCAAGAGCUAAAUUGUAGAGUACCAUAAUCCAAACAAUAUAUUCCUAUAUCUAAAUUGUGCCUCAUGGAUUUUGCCUUGAGAAGGAAUAGUUGAAAGAAAAGGAUUUGGCUUUGCUAUACCCAUUUGCAUUCUAUAUCAGUUGAUUUUGUUGUUUUUUGUACUUGCUUUGUUGAUUUUCUUACUUGCAAAAAUUUACUGGGGCAUAUCUUGAUUCUCGAGUCACCCGGAAUAACAUGAUGCUGGUAACUGUAAGGGAGAGGUAGUUUUUGAAGUAUGAAGGCCCCGAGUGAUACCUGCCUUUUCUCAUGUUUGUCUGCAGUAUCUGGUUUUGUAUUAUUUUUUCCUCCUGCAAACUUAUUUUUCAUUAAGCAUAACUAAUAUGGUGGUCGAGAUCCUUCAAACAAUACUUCAGUAACAAGACAUGAGCAGCUUUACAACAAUAAACUGGUAAGCUUAAUAGAAAGCUCAAGAAAAAUGUUAUAUUAACAGAAUGGUCUGGAUGCCGAUUGGAGAAAUCUAUCGGUUAGUAAUCAUAAUCACACCUGAGGAUUCUGAGCUCUGUAGGUUUUUUAUUUUAAUGGCAUGCUUAAUAAAGAUUCUUUAAACAUGUUCAAAUAAUCUGCAUUGUCCUACCUACGCUUUAAUACAUUGUCUGUUUGUUUUAUUUUUAUAAGUUUCUUCCCUUCAAGUAGUAGGCGGUCUGGUAACACUGUGUGACAGCUGCAUCACAGAACGGGGUUGCUGGCAUUCUCCAAUAGGCUUCCAGGCAAGGACGGCUUCUCUUCCUGUUUCAUUCUACUUCAUUGAUAAAUAAUAGUCUGCCUUGAUAAACUGUUCCAAUGGAUUGCCUUCUCCCAAGAACAUGUAAUAAGGUAGUUGAACUGUGGAUUAAUAAAUAAUGAGGACUACUCCAUGAAAGUAUAAAUGGGUAUAUAAUAGGAACUUUAUUCUUAUUUUAGACCUAUUGGUCUGCAUUCUGCUUAUUACAGGAAAGCCAAACCAAGUGAAAUAGUUGCGCAGCAGAGUAACGUGAACAGAAGUGCAGGUGGAUUAGAGGUUCCCAGAGCCUGACUCUUGUAUCAAUACAAUUGUUAUCUUCAGUGUUUUAAUUUGUUAAAUUAUAUCCACCAUCAAGUAUACACAGUGAAAAAUACAGUGAUUGACUGGGAUAAAGCCUAAUGCCAUGACCUCAAGGAGCAUGCAGAGAAAGAAAAAAACUAAAUAUUUUUAUAGUAAAAUUGCUAGCAGAGGGAGCCUGUAUAGUUCCAUGAAUACAGUGAUAAAACUGCCAUUGGCCAAAGAAGUAUUUAGAAGUGGUUCCUUUAAUAAUUCUUUGCCAUUUUAUGGUUCCUCCAGCUGAGACUGCCAAAUGCUUUAUUGGCCUGAAAGACAUUACUAUCAUCCCCUCCUUGAAAUGUGAGAAUUAUUGUUAUCGUUGUGUUCAUCCCUAUUUCUGUGAUUGAGGAAAAGAAAGCUACACAAGUGCCAAAACCGAUUAUUAUUUGUGCCCUGGGAGCUUGGCCCCAAGUGGCAUGCAGGAGAGUGAAAAAUCCCAGAUAAUUGUCAUUGGUAUGUUGUUUUCAUAGGGUUGGAUUUCAGCUGUUUGUGUGAACCUCGAGUAUCGCAGCAGGGAAGGACUCCCUUGAAUAUGUGAUUCGACUACUCCUAAUACAUACCCAUUUAACACUUUCAUGUAGUAGUCCUUGUUGUAAAUACGUGAUUAUAAUAGUAAAUAUGUCUUUACAGAGGAGCAAAGCAUUUUUAGUUGGUAGCCUUCUCCCGUUCUCAACAGAAUAACCAACCUUAGGACUAUCGAAAGAGAGGCAAGAAGAGAGCAAGGCUAUCUUUUGAUUUAGAUGCUAGAGCACCUUCCCAACUUGGCACCCUGCAAAGAGCAGUAAGGAGAGUUGCAUCCAGAAGAACAAACGUUUCACAUGCUCAUCUGCGCAGAGGGCACUUUGCAAGUCUCCCCAGGGAAUGGGGCUAAGGCCUAACAAACAUUAGGGACUGCACUGGCUGCAGCUUAGGGGGACAAAUUAUAGGCUGUAAUCUCUAGGUAUUACCAAUAUUAUCUCUGCACUCUUCCUCUAUGGGAAGCAGGACUCUGUCCUCCUCAUUCAUCCAUCUGUCCCUCCUUCGCUUACUCUCCGUCACCAGGGUGAGGAUGAGGCUGGAGAGCGAGGGCAGUGCUGGAGCUCGGGUAAUGAAGGAGUUUCCCACUAGGUGGUGGUGAAGAGAAUCGUGUGACACGUACCGGUCAGCACAUGCUUUCUUUUUAGCAAGGGGAAUCCUACUAGGAUCUUACAAGCAGAACAGCCGAGCGCAGCUCUGAGCUGCACUGCCAAACUGAAUCUCUGACUUCUGCCGUCCCCUUCUGCUCGUUUCCAUGCUACGUGUUCCUCCCAAACCCAAGCAGGGUUGACAACUCUACCUGUCAUGUCCCUUCCCAAAAGGUGCAGUCUCCGCAUGAAGCUGCUGCGGUUCUUUCCAUCGGCCUGCUUGAUGAAUCAAGACAUGGUUAGCUAAAACGUCCUCUAAUGACAUUUAAGCUCUUCAGAGGUGAGGGCUUUUUGUAGCGAGUGCUUUUGUCUGAUUCUCCGCCACCACGCUUGCCUCCCUGUGCUCUGGGAGUUACGCUGCCAAGUAGGGGGGAAAAAAACCAACAACUUAUUUUUGUUUGCUGCUUGUGCUGAAAUACCUUUGUAAGUCUAGGUAGUGCAUCAGUCUACAUCAAAGGCACCAGACAGAGCAAGUACUUUGAAAGGACUUUGUAACGUCAAGAGUAAACUGUCACUGAAAGUCAGAGGAAAGCUUUGUACGUCUGAAGAAAGUCUGCACAAGCAGUACACUGAGAAAAUUAUCUGGGGAAUGCGAGCUGUGCCCCACUUUGGAGUAUGAGCAGAUGCUGGGUCUGCAAGGAAGAAUACAUUUGUCCUGUGAAUUGAUCCCACUGCUAUCAUGUAAUGAUAGAGCAUGCUUGCAAAAUUGUCAUUUAUUAGUCUAGUCACAAGUCUGAGAUGCUGAAAAAAUUAUGCUUUAAUUGCUCAUCAGCUAAAAAUCACUUGUGUCAAAUUAAUGUGCUAAGAAUUUUGCAAGACUAAGAAGCUAACUAAGGCCACAAAGCAGGGACAUUGUUGUUUUAUAGAUACCAACAUCAGUUUUACAUCCUAUUCUCAGGAAAAGAGUCUCAGAAAGGAAUCUUUAGUACCAAGACAAGGUUGAAACACUGGUUUAUCCUUCCCCCCAUUGAUUCAAAAGGAUAGAUAGGUUUCCUCUUGCAUUUACUCUGUCACGAGCAGUGAAAAGGAUUGCACAAGCAUGCACCCUGCAGCCACCGUGGUUGCAGCACAGCAGAGCGUGGAUUCCAAAUUAAUUGUCAGUUUUCUAAUUGUCACUAGAUGUUUUUGCUGGGGUGUGGGAGGAGAAAGGAAAGGGGCUUCUCCCUCAAAUCAGUCCCACCAUUAGAGUCAGAGCAUUCUUCUUAUUUGGAGGCUUGGGGUGAGAGUGCGGGGAGUCUAGAGUUUCCACCCAAACUGAUCAGUGUGAUUUUGAGCACAACUCACUCCUCUGUCCUUGCCUCCCCCCCCCCCCCCCCCCCCCCUUUCCGUACCUCCUGAGAUGGGCACAGGCACUGUGCAUAGGGUGUAAGUAAGUUGAGGGGCAAAAAGGUAUAUGGUUAAAUAGAAGCAAAUAUUUUGCAAGGUAGCCCAGCCUGAGCUCUGUGAGAGGAAGCAUUAGCAUCAAUUACUAUAUAAUCCUUCCAGUACACCUAGUUGCCAUGAUCCUCCCCAGCAGGGACCCCACUAAGCUAAAGUCAUGAUGCUUUGAGUAUUCCAACUUCACGGUUGAUAAACCCAGUUCUCAAGCAGAUUUUAGUGGGCAGAGUGCUAAUCGUGCUGGGAGCUGUAAGGUCAUUCCUGUCCAUGUUGCCCAGGGGCUGUGGAAAGCACAGAGGCUUUGGAUGCUGAGGUGCAACAACCUCCCAGAGCCAGCGGAUCGCUUGCAAGGCCUCAGAAAAGAGCAGCGGGGAGAGAGGACGACUGUCUCUCGGCUCCCGCACAGCUCCCAACACCGUUUUUGAUGCACAGAGAUAUGGGCACACAGAGGGGAGAAGCCUCCAAACAAGUCCGGAGCACCAUCUCACUAAAAGCAUUGGUUAAAUAAAGCACAAGAAUCCCAGGCAUUCCCUCCUCCUGCCGAGAGAUAUAACUCAGGGUUUGCACACAUAACAUCUUCCUUCUGCAGUGCCCCAACGCUUCAGGUGGCUGGAAAACGUUGCAGUUUCCUCUUUAUUGGCGGGAAACCAUGCAAGCGGAGAUGAUCACCUGAGAUUACACAGAGAAGCAGUAACAGAACUGAGGAGAAUUGAGCAGUUCUUGAUUUUUAAUCCUCUCUCACAACUACAAACCAGCCUCCUGAGGUUUUUCCAUUUUAGGAAAACAAACAAGACUGACAAAAUUCAGUCUCAUAUUCUAUCCAUUAAAAAUAGGAAUAAGCUAGACUGACCCAUUUUAGAGACAUCUGAAGUAUCUGUAGAUGCAGUGAGACUAGUCCAGUGUCCUAAUAGAUAUUUUUUGAAGAUGCUAACAAGAUUAUAUUAAGGCACAGCAUUUCUACGUAGUUCUUUGUUUUAAAGAAAUACCUAUUUUUACCAGACCCAGGCAUUGUUCUUCUAUUUAGGUCAGUUACAUCACCUCCAACUGCUAGUUAAAACCAGCUCUUCUCCCUCCCACACUGCAAGGAACAAUGGAUGAGCGGGCACAGCUGGACUGAAAUCAAUUGCUCCAAACUCCACAGAACUCCACUCACACGGACUGCUGCAGUGAAGUAACAGGAGGCAAGGAUUACUCAAGCAGGCAGGCCUGAGCUGAGACACUAGAUCUGCGCUCAGCAGAAACAUAAUCAGAGAGUCAAGAAGCACUGAAGAAACCCAAAAGGAGAGAAAGACAAGACAGGAAGUCCCCGUUCCUUUGCCUGGGACUCACGUGGAUUAACACCGGGCUGGACGUUAACACAAAGUACGCAAUUUGUAUUUGGUCUGAGCAUCUUGAGCAUUAUUUUCUUUGCUGUGAGGCUCAACCACGUUGAGCUUUCGCUCCAAGUCUUUUACUUCUUUCCUUGUUUGAAAGAUGGUAAAUUCAUAGAUCCAACAAUUUCCAGCAGUGUGUUGUGGAAUGCAAGUUAUGUGCUCUAAACCUAACUAGAGUUAUCUUA